GCCUCCGUAGUGUAACGGUAAACACGUCUGACUCGGUUUCCGGAAGACGUGGUCGUGAGUUCGAAUCUCAUCGGUGGAG
Non-coding RNA from Phthorimaea operculella (potato tuberworm), 79 nucleotides. Lineage: Eukaryota; Metazoa; Arthropoda; Insecta; Lepidoptera; Gelechiidae. The record is from the annotation of a GenBank genome assembly.